GCCCCUGUAGCUCAGUGGAUAGAGUACCGGCCUCCGAAGCCGGGUGCGCAAGUUCGAUUCUUGCCAGGGGCG
Molecule: transfer RNA, 72 nt
Filed under: Deltaproteobacteria bacterium GWA2_45_12
Lineage: Bacteria; Deltaproteobacteria
Also listed under: 1 other name
Description: tRNA-Arg
Rfam family: tRNA
About the family: Transfer RNA (tRNA) molecules are approximately 80 nucleotides in length. Their secondary structure includes four short double-helical elements and three loops (D, anti-codon, and T loops).
Source: RNAcentral